GUGCGGCGCGGCGCAGGCCGGGGCGGCGGCCCGGCUGCUUUGUCCUCGCCGGGUGGGGACGCAAGGUCCCGGGUGGGUCGAGGUGGAGGGGUUGGGGAUCGUCAGUGCUCUUGUCCCCUCCCCGAGCGUCCCGCACUCACCCUCCGGAACUACUGCGGGCCGUCCGCAGCUAGCUUGGGCCGAUCGGCCUCGGAUAAAGGUCGCAGGUCCCCGAGGCCGCAGAGGCGACAACGCACAGAGCCAGGCUCACGCUCUGUGGCCCGGGGCUGUAGCCUCCUGGGCCACCCUUCUUCAUGUUUGUUAUGGUGUGGCGGAGGCCGCCAGGCUCGCUGGAGCAGGGGGAGGCUGGGUUGAAAGGAGGCCCAGCGGUGUUGGGUUACCGGCGGUGAGUCACAGUCCCCUCCAGCCGCCGAGGCCCUGCAGGCCCCCAGCUCCGGCACGGUCAGGGCAGGGCCCUCCUGGAGCAACCGCGGAGCCUGGAAAGUCCCCGAGAGGGAUGCUUCGGAACCCCGGCUCUCUCAGGGAGAAAGGCGGAGUCAGGAACGAAGGGAGGCUCGAAGGAGGAACCCGGCCCUUCUCCAGGGCUCCGAUCUCCCGGUAAAGUUCGGGAGUCCAACAGGGACCAACACCUAAGAGGAGGGAAGUGGGGGCCUGGAUGGAGCUGGGUCCCCUGAGCUGCCCAGCGCCAUUGGAAAGACCCCUUUCCGACAAACCAAGGCUCUGAGAUAAGCCUAGGCCUUGGCCUGCUGAGCAGUUCCUUGUCCAAGCCAGAGGCCACUUGCAGGCCUCUUGACCCCCUCAGGCGAUGGGAAUUUUCCUUUGACUAAAACGGCCAGAUCUCACCCCACCAGGUGAAGGUCAGGCAGGAAGGCCUCCCAGCAAGGCUGCCCUGGUUCUCCUGAGAUGAAGGGAGGAAAAAUAAGACAUGAAAAAAUUAAAGGUAUCUUGAGAAAUUUUUUAAAGUAAUUUCACAUAAAUUACAUUGUUCCACACUAGGGUGGGAAGACCGACCAGGAAGAGCAUCUGGUGUAGUCUCCAAGUACUGGCACUUCCUUCUGCAGCCCUCAGGUUCCUCCCGCCCUCCAAAUUCCUUCUGACUUCACUCUUGUCUACUUCUCACCUUACACUGGACUCUAGCAACAGCCUGUCUUCUCGAGACGCCCCUCGCCCCCACCCCUGUUGUCAGAGUCAUGGCCUGAAACACACCCAUUGUCGGCCCUCACUCCUCCGCUCAGUUCUGGACUUGAUAAUGGUCUUAUCUCCAAACUUUAUUUACUUAUCUUACUGAUGCCUGAAACCCUCGGCCGGUCCCUGCCUACCUUAAAAGCACUCACAUAAGACAAAAAAACGCAAAGACCAUGCCCCAGUCUAUUCGUUCCACUAGCCCUUUCAGGGACACCCUCUCCUUCCCCUCCCCCUCCCCAUUCCCCAUCCUGAAACUGUAGGCAGCUUUUAAAUGGUCUGUAGACAUCCCUGCAUGUAGAUUGAGAGACAAGUUGGUGGCCUGCAGGGAGAGCUCCCACCCCCACCGGAUUGGUUGGAUGACUUAAUCUCUUAAGACUUUCAUUUGUUCUUCAAAUAUGCAUUAGUGGGUCUAAUUGGUUUUAGUUUUUGGUUUGGAUUUCAGGUAAAUAGAUUGUCUCUACAUUAGUAAUUAAAAUGCCAAGUGUUCUGGUCCCUUCCCUCCCCCAGCAUGUGGUAGGAAACUAUUACCCCACUGCCCCCUUCAGGGUCAUAUCUGGCUAUAUAACUUGCCUCGGUUGAAAGAUUCCAUGCAGGUACCACAAUCACUGUGUCUUCCACCUGGGAACUUAGUUACAGAGUAAAGUGCCUUGUCCCAUGUCCUCAUCUUGACAAGCAGUGCACAGUGGGCUCAGGCUGAGACUCCCUGUAAAGGGAACAAGAAAGUCCCCCAGGAAGAUUGGACUGGAAAAGCAGCCUGGGCAAAUAUUCUUUUGAUGUGUUCAGCCAGGAAGAUGAUAGAUGUUUGAUUUGGCGGAUGACCUGUUCGGGCAGGGUCACUCUCAAGUGCAGGGUCUUCGUCCCUAUGUGUUGGAUGGAGAGAACCUACCGUAUGCUGUUAACCAUUUUACAACAGCAAGUGCUGCUAUGGAAGGUAGCUGCUGUGAUCUCUGUUUUCCGUUGGGGCUAGCAUAUCAGAAAGGCUUAGAGCGUGGCCUAACAUUGCUUAGCUUGUACGGAGUAACAGCAGCACGGAGACUUAAUCCCUACCUGUCCCCCUCUGCUGAUGCCAGGCUACCCCUCCUUAAAUGGGAAGGAGGCAAGACCCAAACACGGUGUGUGGCACACUGUCAUGUCCAAACCCUGGGAACUCCUGCUCAGCCUGAGUUCCUGCAGCAUUGAUAACUGGAACGCAAAACAUUUAUGUGACUACAUGUGUGGGUUUUUUAGUUACGUGUAUUUGUUCUGGGAAUGUAUGUGUGUACAUACAUACAGGUAUGUGGAGAUAAAAGGGUAACUUGGAGAGGUCACCUCUCUCCCUCCACCAUGUGGUACCCAGGGAAUCAAACUUUGACCGUUGGGCCUUCAUCUGCCGAGCCAUUGCCAGCCCAUAUGUGGUUAUUUUUAUACAGAGAAAUUACCUCCUCUAGCUUUGAAAAGGUGGCUGUGGCGUCUGCAGCCCCAGCAGAGCCCAGGCUCCUUGCUUCAGAGCUCGAGUUCUAGAGUCACACAAACCAGGUUCCUGUUCUGUCCCAAAAUUAACAAUGACUGUCUGGAGCUGUUACUUCCGCCUCUCCUUGUGUCACUUCUCUGGCCUGUCAGUAGUGAUGGGAACAACUGCAUGUCACUGCCAGCGGUAGCAGUGUGUCCCACAAAGCUGCUGUGGGUCUUGUAUGGAAUGCAUACUCUAUAGACAGUGGCUAAUACUGUCGGGUUUACCGUGCUUCUCUCCAGGCUCCUACCAGAGUUCUGAGGAAUUAUUAGCAGCUUGAUCCUACUGCCUGAUAGCUUCUGGCUCUGUGCUGCAUCCUGCACAGAUGUUGUAACAUCUGUACUCAGAAGCAUCCACGCCAUCUCACAAGUUAUAGUGGCACAAGGUUCCUCACUGGGCCUUUACUACAUGGCUGUUUUCAAAGCAACUUGAAAGCGUUCUAUGUUUCCUUCCUUGAAAGAGCUUGGUUCCGAAGACGUGUGUGUGUGUGUGUGUGUGUGUGUGUGUGUGUGUGUGUGUUACUGGGAUCCCUGCUUCACUGUUGAAAAAUAUCAACAAAGGUUGGCUUCAUUGCAUGUUACCAAUCAAUGACAGUUUAAGUCAGGAUUUGAAUCUAACCAUCUAGCAAAGGCUCCAAUCUGCCUGCAGUACAACUCACGUGAGUUGUUAUUGGUCUGUAUGGAUAGGUGAAGUUCAAGUUACCUAAGAUCAUGACCUUUCUAACUUGGCUCUGUGAGCGAGUGGAAACCCGACUUGCAAAUGAUCACUUGAGAACACGCUUAUUCGUCACUGUGGCAGAAGUUACAGAGUGAGUUCCAGGACAGCCAGGGCUAUACAGAGAAACCCUGUCUC
RNAcentral lists this long non-coding RNA (3526 nucleotides) under Mus musculus (house mouse). RNAcentral describes it as "long non-coding RNA chr10:84440848-84444374". The record is from RNAcentral. Lineage: Eukaryota; Metazoa; Chordata; Mammalia; Rodentia; Muridae.